Molecule: long non-coding RNA, 1277 nt
Filed under: Salmo salar (Atlantic salmon)
Lineage: Eukaryota; Metazoa; Chordata; Actinopteri; Salmoniformes; Salmonidae
Description: lncRNA (ENSSSAG00000108576.1)
Source: RNAcentral
GAUCAUUCUACAAUGUAGGAAAUCUUCUACACUAUGUCAGGACCCUUCUCCACUAUGUCAGGACCCUUUUACACUAUGUCAGGAUCAUUCUACAAUUAGGAAAUCUUCUACACUAUGUCAGGACCCUUCUCCACUAUGUCAGUACCCUUCUCCACUAUGUCAGGACCCUUCUAAUCUAUGUCAGGACCCUUCUACACUAUGUCAGGACCCUUCUACACUUUAGGAAAUCUUCUACACUAGAAGAGAAAGAGAAAGAGGAAACAGAGAGGAGGAAAGAGAGAGAGAACGAGAGGAGGAGAGAGAGAGAGAGCGAGAGAGAGAGAAAGAGAGAAAGAAACUGAGAGAGGAGGAGAGAGAGGUGAGGCAAUGAAGGAUAGAGGAGUGAGAGGAAGAUUGUGCCAGAACUCAGUGAGUGCAGCUAAAUCUCUCAGAGCUCAGUCAAUAAAACAGAGGGCUCUUAGAAAACAAACCCUUCUCCACUAUGUCAGGACCCUUCUAUGCUAUGUCAGGACCCUUCUACACUAUGUCAGGACCCUUCUAAUCUAUGUCAGGACCCUUCUACACUAUGUCUGGACCCUUCUACGCUGUAGGAAACGUUCUACACUAUGUCAGGAGCCUUCUCUACUAUGUCAGGACCCUUCUCCACUAUGUCAGGACCCUUCUACGCUAUGUCAGGACCCUUCUACACUAUGUCAGGACCCUUCUACACUUUAGGAAAUCUUCUACACUAGAAGAGAAAGAGAAAGAGGAAACAGAGAGGAGGAAAGAGAGAGAGAACGAGAGGAGGAGAGAGAGAGCGAGAGAGAGAGAAAGAGAAAGAAACUGAGAGAGGAGGAGAGAGAGAGAGAGAGAGAGAGAGAGAGAGAGAGAUAGAAGGAAACAGAGAGAGGAGGAGAGAGAGAGAAAGAGAGAGAGAGAAAGAGAGAAAGAGAGAGAGGAGGAGAGAGAGGUGAGGCAAUGAAGGAUAGAGGAAGAGAGAGAGAGAGAGAGAGAUAGAAGGAAACAGAGAGAGGAGGAGAGAGAGAGAAAGAGAGAGAGAGAGGGGAGACAAGGAAGGAUAGAGGAGUGAGAGGAAGAUUGUGCCAGAACUCAGUGAGUGCAGCUAAAUCUCUCAGAGCUCAGUCAAUAAAACAGAGGGCUCUUAGAAAACAAACCCUUCUCCACUAUGUCAAGACCCUUCUACACUAUGUCAGGACCCUUCUACACUAUGUCAGGACCCUUUUACACUAUGUCAGGACACUUCUACACUAUGUCAGGACCCUUCUACACUAUGUCAG